RNAcentral lists this ribosomal RNA (503 nucleotides) under uncultured bacterium. RNAcentral's name for it is "partial 16S ribosomal RNA". It matches the Rfam family "Bacterial small subunit ribosomal RNA", at positions 355 to 874 of the family's 1533-position model. The record is from RNAcentral.
UGGGGAAUAUUGGACAAUGGGGGCAACCCUGAUCCAGCAAUGCCGCGUGUGUGAAGAAGGUCUUCGGAUUGUAAAGCACUUUCGACGGGGACGAUGAUGACGGUACCCGUAGAAGAAGCCCCGGCUAACUUCGUGCCAGCAGCCGCGGUAAUACGAAGGGGGCUAGCGUUGCUCGGAAUGACUGGGCGUAAAGGGCGUGUAGGCGGUUUACACAGUCAGAUGUGAAAUCCCCGGGCUUAACCUGGGAGCUGCAUUUGAUACGUGUAGACUAGAGUGUGAGAGAGGGUUGUGGAAUUCCCAGUGUAGAGGUGAAAUUCGUAGAUAUUGGGAAGAACACCGGUGGCGAAGGCGGCAACCUGGCUCAUGACUGACGCUGAGGCGCGAAAGCGUGGGGAGCAAACAGGAUUAGAUACCCUGGUAGUCCACGCUGUAAACGAUGUGUGCUAGAUGUUGGGUAACUUUGGUUAUUCAGUGUCGCAGUUAACGCGUUAAGCACACCGCCU